Molecule: long non-coding RNA, 278 nt
Filed under: Homo sapiens (human)
Lineage: Eukaryota; Metazoa; Chordata; Mammalia; Primates; Hominidae
Description: HSALNT0245988
Source: RNAcentral
GUCGAGGACCUCGCGGCUGCCGCCGCCUGCGCGCGCCUCACUUUGGACAGGAGGCCAGUUUUCCGCUCUGGGCUUCCUGCCCCUCCGUGUCAGACUCCUUGGCUGCUUCUCUCUCUCUUCCUAUCGUUCUCUCUCUGCCUCUCUCUUUUCCCCCCCUCUUUCUCCACCCCAUCUCUGGCCAAGGGAAACUGCUUGCAGUCAGGCUGAUCAUCGAUGUUUGAACUAAAUCGUGGGUUCCAAGGAGUGGGAGUUGUGAUUUGGAGCUUGAGCAAUAAGAG